RNAcentral lists this ribosomal RNA (1573 nucleotides) under marine sediment metagenome. RNAcentral's name for it is "bacterial LSU rRNA". It matches the Rfam family "Bacterial large subunit ribosomal RNA", at positions 485 to 2008 of the family's 2925-position model. The record is from RNAcentral.
CGAUAGUGAACUAGUACCGUGAGGGAAAGGUGAAAAGUACCCCGGGAGGGGAGUGAAAUAGUACCUGAAACCGUAUACCUACAAGCAGUGGGAGCACUAUUUUUUAAGAUUUAUCUUAAGAAAGUGUGACCGCGUGCCUUUUGUAAAAUGAGCCGGCGAGUUACGAUACCUAGCGAGGUUAAGCAGCAUCUGCUGCGGAGCCGCAGCGAAAGCGAGUCUGAAUAGGGCGAUUUAGUUAGGUGGCGUAGACCCGAAACCGAGUGAUCUAACCAUGGCCAGGGUGAAACAGGUCUGAUCGCCUGUGGAGGCCCGAACCCACUUAUGUUGAAAAAUGAGGGGAUGAGCUGUGGUUAGGGGUGAAAGACCAAUCAAACUCGGAGAUAGCUGGUUCUCCUCGAAAUAGCUUUAGGGCUAGCCUCAAAUGUUUGCCUAUGGAGGUAGAGCACUGAAUGGACUAAGGGCCCCACCAGGUUACUGAACCCAAUCAAACUCCGAAUACCAUAGGUUUAUAGUUUGGGAGUCAGACUGCGGGGGAUAAGCUUCGUAGUCGAAAGGGAAACAGCCCAGACCAGCAGCUAAGGUCCCCAAGUGCAAGCUAAGUGUGAAAGGAAGUGGAAUUACAAAGACAGCCAGGAUGUUGGCUCAGAGGCAGCCAUCAUUUAAAAAGUGCGUAACAGCUUACUGGUCAAGUGAUUCUGCACCGAAAAUGUACGGGGCUAAAGUUUGCCACCGAAGCUCUGGAUCCAGAAUUUAUUCUGGGUGGUAGAGGAGCGUUCCUUUAUGGGAUGAAGGGUAACCGUAAGGAUGCCUGGACUAAAAGGAAGUGAGAAUGCCGGCAUUAGUAACGAUAAGGAGAGUGAGAAUCUCUCCCGCCGAAAACCUAAGGUUUCCUGGGGAAGGUAAAUCCGCCCAGGGUUAGUCGGAACCUAAGCCGAGGCCGAAAGGCGUAGGCGAUGGACAACCGGUCAACAUUCCGGUACUACCAGAUUAUCGCUUUAAGUGAUGGGGGGACGCAGGAAGGUAGGUCAGCACGAUAAAAGUUACGUGUCCAAGCCUGAUGUGGGAAGAGAUAGGAAAAUCCGUCUCUUAUUAAAACCCUAAGAGGUGAUAGGGAGCUACUAUGGUAGCGAACUGAUUGAUCCUACACUGCCAAGAAAAGCCUCUAAACAAGAUAAACUGGUAUCCGUACUAAAACCGACACAGGUAGGUAGGUAGAGAAUACCAAGGCGCUCGAGAUAACCCUCGUUAAGGAACUCGGCAAAAUGACUCCGUAACUUCGGGAGAAGGAGUGCCCCGGUAGGGUGACCCAAUUUACUUGGUUAGCCUGAAGGGGUUGCAAAGAAACGGCCCAAGCGACUGUUUACUAAAAACACAGGUCUCUGCUAAAUCGAAAGAUGAUGUAUAGGGACUGACGCCUGCCCGGUGCUGGAAGGUUAAGGAAGGGGGUUACUCCUCGUAAGAGGGGGAAGCUCUUGACCGAAGCCCCAGUAAACGGCGGCCGUAACUAUAACGGUCCUAAGGUAGCGAAAUUCCUUGUCGGGUAAGUUCCGACCCGCACGAAUGGCGUAACGAU